This 88-nucleotide transfer RNA is filed under the name secondary endosymbiont of Trabutina mannipara. It matches the Rfam family "tRNA". Rfam says of the family: Transfer RNA (tRNA) molecules are approximately 80 nucleotides in length. The record is from Rfam by way of RNAcentral. Lineage: Bacteria; Pseudomonadati; Pseudomonadota; Gammaproteobacteria; Enterobacterales; Enterobacteriaceae.
GGUGAGGUGUCCGAGUGGCUAAAGGAGCACGCCUGGAAAGUGUGUAUACAAUAAAAUUGUAUCGAGGGUUCGAAUCCCUCUCUCACCG